UAAACUACAUUUAAGGAUUGGUCCAAUGCC
Molecule: non-coding RNA, 30 nt
Filed under: Rattus norvegicus (Norway rat)
Lineage: Eukaryota; Metazoa; Chordata; Mammalia; Rodentia; Muridae
Source: RNAcentral